This 448-nucleotide ribosomal RNA is filed under the name uncultured bacterium. RNAcentral's name for it is "bacterial SSU rRNA". It matches the Rfam family "Bacterial small subunit ribosomal RNA", at positions 355 to 825 of the family's 1533-position model. The record is from RNAcentral.
UGGGGAAUAUUGGACAAUGGGCGAAAGCCUGAUCCAGCCAUGCCGCGUGAGUGACGAAGGCCUUAGGGUUGUAAAACUCUUUCGUCGGGGACGAUAAUGACGGUACCCGAAGAAGAAGCUCCGGCUAACUUCGUGCCAGCAGCCGCGGUAAUACGAAGGGAGCUAGCGUUGUUCGGAAUCACUGGGCGUAAAGCGCACGUAGGCGGAUAGUUAAGUCAGGGGUGAAAUCCUGGGGCUCAACCCCAGAACUGCCUUUGAUACUGGCUGUCUCGAGGUCGAGAGAGGUUGGUGGAAUUCCUAGUGUAGAGGUGAAAUUCGUAGAUAUUGGGGAAGAACACCAGUGGCGAAGGCGGCUAACUGGUCCGGUACUGACGCUGAGGUGCGAAAGCGUGGGGAGCAAACAGGAUUAGAUACCCGAGUAGUCCCUGAGCGGGCUGGCAAGGCGCAU